RNAcentral lists this long non-coding RNA (328 nucleotides) under Gallus gallus (chicken). Lineage: Eukaryota; Metazoa; Chordata; Aves; Galliformes; Phasianidae. The record is from RNAcentral.
GCCGCAGCGCGACCCGAGCGGAGACGGCGGCACCGGAUGCCGCGCGGGGAUGAGAGAAUGCUUUUUUAAGGCAAAGUUGUGAAGAGUUGUGUCAUUUCUGUAAAAGAAAAAGUAGGAGGAGAAUGAGAAAGAUUUUUCUAAGAAGCUUAACAGAGAAACUGAGAGAAUAUCAUCAAAGACUGCUCUUUUUUGAGUGCCUUAGGUUCUCAUCUGUUUGUGACAACACAAAUCCAAUAUGCCAUAAGCAUGUUGAAAUGUUCUGGCCUUUACAGUUUUCCCAGCCUGAGGGAAGACUUCAUUUAUGGAAUAGUACUCCUGAAGAGCCAAG